This 292-nucleotide ribosomal RNA is filed under the name uncultured bacterium. Its description in RNAcentral is "partial 16S ribosomal RNA". It matches the Rfam family "Bacterial small subunit ribosomal RNA", at positions 505 to 796 of the family's 1533-position model. The record is from RNAcentral.
GUGCCAGCAGCCGCGGUAAUACGGAGGGUGCAAACGUUGUUCGGAAUCACUGGGCGUAAAGCGCGUGUAGGCUGCACGAUAAGUCAGAUGUGAAAGCCCCAGGCUCAACCUGGGAAGUGCAUUUGAAACUGUCGAGCUAGAGUACGGGAGAGGGUCGUGGAAUUCCUGGUGUAGAGGUGAAAUUCGUAGAUAUCAGGAGGAACACCGGUGGCGAAGGCGGCGACCUGGACCGAUACUGACGCUGAGACGCGAAAGCGUGGGGAGCAAACAGGAUUAGAUACCCGCGUAGUCC